CACCAUAAAUCCACCCAAAAAUCUGUCCACAAGCUUCAUGCCGCAAGCAAGGGAAAGGAGGAAUCUUGGAUGCACUUGCUACCAAGUUGGAGCAUUUUAGGUGUUUUCUUUCCUUUGAUUUUAAUGUCUAAUUUUAUGUAUCUUUGUAUUGCAAGAAUGAGGAACUAAACCCCCUUAGUUGGGGGGUGAUUCGAAACCAUGUACAUGCUUGCAAUAUGAUUUGAUUACAU
RNAcentral lists this long non-coding RNA (230 nucleotides) under Malus domestica (apple). Its description in RNAcentral is "long non-coding RNA (MDOM_LNC016834)". The record is from RNAcentral. Lineage: Eukaryota; Viridiplantae; Streptophyta; Magnoliopsida; Rosales; Rosaceae.